GCAAAAGCUCAAAUUUGAAACCCUCGGGAUUGUAAUUUGAAGACGUGGCAUUGGAGAAAGCUACCCCAAGUUGCUUGGAAUAGCACGUCAUAGAGGGUGACAACCCCGUUUGGCUAACCGUUCUCCAUGUAUUGCCUAGUCAAAGAGUCGAGUUGUUUGGGAAUGCAGCUCAAAGUGGGUGGUAAACUCCAUCUAAAGCUAAAUACUGGUGAGAGACCGAUAGCGAACAAGUACUGUGAAGGAAAGGUGAAAAGAACUUUGAAAAGAGAGUGAAAUAGUAUGUGAAAUCGUUGAUAGGGAAGGAAAUGAGCGCAGAGUGGACAAGGUUUCAGCGUCCCCUCGGGGACGUGUACUGCCGAGUCCGAGUCAACGACAGCGAGACGGGGCCA
This 389-nucleotide ribosomal RNA is filed under the name Yarrowia sp. Its description in RNAcentral is "partial 28S ribosomal RNA". It matches the Rfam family "Eukaryotic large subunit ribosomal RNA", at positions 101 to 467 of the family's 3401-position model. The record is from RNAcentral. Lineage: Eukaryota; Fungi; Ascomycota; Dipodascomycetes; Dipodascales.